This 301-nucleotide ribosomal RNA is filed under the name uncultured bacterium. RNAcentral's name for it is "partial 16S ribosomal RNA". It matches the Rfam family "Bacterial small subunit ribosomal RNA", at positions 509 to 807 of the family's 1533-position model. The record is from RNAcentral.
CAGUCGCCGCGGUAAUACGAAGGGUGCAAGCGUUACCCGGAUUUACUGGGCGUAAAGGGCGUGUAGGCGGCCUGGGGCGUCCCAUGUGAAAGGCCACGGCUCAACCGUGGAGGAGCGUGGGAUACGCUCAGGCUAGAGGGUGGGAGAGGGUGGUGGAAUUCCCGGAGUAGCGGUGAAAUGCGCAGAUACCGGGAGGAACGCCGAUGGCGAAGGCAGCCACCUGGUCCACUUCUGACGCUGAGGCGCGAAAGCGUGGGGAGCAAACCGGAUUAGAGACCCCAGUAGUCCCUGUCUCUUAUAC